This 253-nucleotide ribosomal RNA is filed under the name uncultured bacterium. Its description in RNAcentral is "partial 16S ribosomal RNA". It matches the Rfam family "Bacterial small subunit ribosomal RNA", at positions 524 to 776 of the family's 1533-position model. The record is from RNAcentral.
UACGAAGGGGGCUAGCGUUGUUCGGAUUUACUGGGCGUAAAGCGCACGUAGGCGGAUCGAUCAGUCAGGGGUGAAAUCCCAGGGCUCAACCCUGGAACUGCCUUUGAUACUGUCGAUCUGGAGUAUGGAAGAGGUGAGUGGAAUUCCGAGUGUAGAGGUGAAAUUCGUAGAUAUUCGGAGGAACACCAGUGGCGAAGGCGGCUCGCUGGCCCGGUACUGACGCUGAGGCACGAAAGCGUGGGGAGCAAACAGG